CUGCGGAAGGAUCAUUAUCGUACAAUCGAGGUGCUGGGGUUGUUGCUGACUUUUGAAAGGGUCGUGCACACCUCGGUGCUCUCACACAUAAUCCAUCUCACCCCUUUUGUGCAUCACCGCGUGGGGACCCCUUUUGGCUAGUUCUGAGGGGGGCUUUCACGUUUUUACACAGACACCCUUUUUAAUGCAAUGUGUAGAAUGUCUUACUUUUUGCGAUCACACGCAAUCAAUACAACUUUCAACAACGGAUCUCUUGGCUCUCGCAUCGAUGAAGAACGCAGCGAAAUGCGAUACGUAAUGUGAAUUGCAGAAUUCAGUGAAUCAUCGAAUCUUUGAACGCACCUUGCGCCCUUUGGCAUUCCGAGGGGCACACCCGUUUGAGUGUCGUGACAUCCUCAAAAACCUUCUUUGGUUUCUUGACCGGGAAGGCUUUUGGACUUUGGAGGCUAUUGCUGGCCUUCCUAUGUUGGAGCCAGCUCCUCUGAAAUAAAUUAGUGGGGUCUGCUUUGCCGAUCCUUGACGUGAUAAGAUGUUUUCUACGUCUUGGGUUUCGCACUGUUCCUGCUUCUAACUGUCUCAUAGAAGACAAUGGUGAAGUGAUUGCCACUUGACCCACAAACCUUGACCUCAAAUCGGGUGAGACUACCCGCUG
This 652-nucleotide ribosomal RNA is filed under the name Russula sp. MAS-2011. Its description in RNAcentral is "eukaryotic LSU rRNA". The stretch from base 234 to 387 matches the Rfam family "5.8S ribosomal RNA". Lineage: Eukaryota; Fungi; Basidiomycota; Agaricomycetes; Russulales; Russulaceae. The record is from RNAcentral.